GUGUUUAUUAUCAAUUUAAAUAAUUGUACAAAGCAUUCAAAAGGAGUUUAUCAAGGGAUAAAGUAGACAUAAGCCCGAAGAUAAGGAAAACAACGUCAAUUGCAUCCCCCCAAGGGCCUACAAGUUAUGCACAAAGUGAGAAGGUGGUCAAAGGGGUUUUCAAGGAGUGCACAUGCCCACGAUAGGCCAGCAACAUCCUCGAGCAUUCUUUAAUGAUCCUUCCGCAGGUUCACCUACGGAAA
Molecule: unclassified non-coding RNA, 242 nt
Filed under: uncultured fungus
Lineage: Eukaryota; Fungi
Description: sequence contains ITS1
Source: RNAcentral